GGACUCGAAGCACUGAGUGAGGGCGUUCUUAAGCUACAUUCUCAAGCUGCAGGUCCUGCUCCAUCCUCUGUCCCCGCCCACCUGUACUACCCUGAGUUCACAGGUGGACUCUUCCUAGUUCAGUCAUGAUCUGUGUUUCAGCUGCAAUCGCCCGAUGAAGAUAGAAUUGAGCUGAUGUGGCUCCAGUGAAUCCAGCAGCAUGGAUCCUUGUGAGGACAAAAAGGACGGAGUGGAAGAUGACAACCAGAGCAAAACUCUGAGGUGGAAGAACAAACCUGGAUCUAAAUUGGAACCAGGCACGGUGUCCUCCAAGAGCAAAAAAAGAGGUUUGAUUCCUAACUUCAAAGACAACAGUUCAGGACCGGAACAGUAAGUGUUUGUCAGAGUUAAAGGAGGCUGGAUUCUAGUUCAGAUGAUCAACAGUUUUCAGAUGAAGGACUUGAGGUCUGGUUCAGUUCUGGAUCUCUCUGAUCAGACUCACUUGGAGCAUCAUGUGUGUGAUGAGAUCUUUUCUGUUGAGUCUUCUGACAGUCUCUGAGAGCAGAGAUGUUGGAGAAGAAAACAUGUUGACUCAGAUCUUUUCAGGAGUGUCAUGAUUUAAAAUACUG
Non-coding RNA from Oryzias latipes (Japanese medaka), 608 nucleotides. Lineage: Eukaryota; Metazoa; Chordata; Actinopteri; Beloniformes; Adrianichthyidae. The record is from RefSeq and is a predicted model, not a curated record.